AGAGGUUACUGCUAUCGGUGUUCGCCUAAGCCAUGCGAGUCAUAUGUUCUUCGUGAACAUGGCGUACUGCUCAGUAACACGUGGAUAACCUGCCCUUGGGUCUGGCAUAACCCCGGGAAACUGGGGAUAAUUCCGGAUAACGCAUAUAUGCUGGAAUGCUUUAUGCGUAAAAUGGAUUCGUCCGCCCAAGGAUGGG
Molecule: ribosomal RNA, 196 nt
Filed under: uncultured methanogenic archaeon
Lineage: Archaea; Methanobacteriati; Methanobacteriota
Description: partial 16S ribosomal RNA
Rfam family: Archaeal small subunit ribosomal RNA
Source: RNAcentral